AGGGGUAUAGCUCAGUGGUAGAGCACUUGCGUGGCUUGUGAGGCCUGGGUUCAAUCCCUAGCAUCUCAA
RNAcentral lists this transfer RNA (69 nucleotides) under Ictidomys tridecemlineatus (thirteen-lined ground squirrel). Its description in RNAcentral is "Spermophilus tridecemlineatus (thirteen-lined ground squirrel) tRNA". It matches the Rfam family "tRNA". Rfam says of the family: Transfer RNA (tRNA) molecules are approximately 80 nucleotides in length. Their secondary structure includes four short double-helical elements and three loops (D, anti-codon, and T loops). Lineage: Eukaryota; Metazoa; Chordata; Mammalia; Rodentia; Sciuridae. The record is from Rfam by way of RNAcentral.